GGCGGAGGUUGCAGUGAGACCGGAUCGCUCUCCACUGGGCGACAGAUUUGAAUCUACGCUGUGCCCAUCUUGCAGAUGAAGAUUUCCCCAAGCCGUUACAGAUGGUUCCCUACCCAUUCCAGAGCUGCUAAUUAUAACCACCAGCUUCAGGCGGUAGGCUGAGACCUUUAUUGUUUUGUGUCAUUUAGUCAUCAGUAAACCCCAUGGAAUAAAGCAAAGUAUGUCUGCUCUACAAAUGAGAAAAUUGAGGCCCAGAGAGACUGCCCAAGGUCCCUCACAGUAAAAGAAUGUCUGAGGAUUCAAACCCAUAUCAUUUUGAUGCCACAAAGCCAGUGUGCCCUUGACCCUCCAUCGCCCAGGACCUUAAAAUUUCCUGACAGUGACUGGCAUUCUCCCUGCGGGUUGUGAACAGGAAACUGCAUUUCAGGGAUGGACGGUGGCGGGAGCAGUCGCUCUCGGGAGCCUCUCCUUCCCCUGGCUGUGGGACCCUAGAGGCUGGUGUCCGCUGAGCUGGAAACUGGACUUCUGCCCAGAUCUUUGAACGACCCCACGGUCCAGCGGCAGCUGUGGCUGGGGUCUAUCCCAGAGUCCAUUGCCCCUCUCUGGGUUAAAAGGAUAGCCCACCUGGUUGCAGAGAUUGAAAGGACUAAUUGUGAAAAUGCUUUUCAAAGGAGAAAGUGUAAUAUGCAAAUACCAAAUAUUACACUAUAUUUCAAGGACUCAUUUUAAUACUUUAUACUCUGUUAACUAAAUCCUCCCAAAGUGCUGGGAUUAUGGGCAUGAGGCACUGUGCCCAGCCUGGUUUAUUUUCUUUUAAAAUAUGUGUGGUCUUGCCAUGUUUCUAGAACACACUCUCAGCCCAUCUGUUUUCCAUCUCUUACAGGAUGCUUCUAGCUGCUCUCCUGGGUGGAACAUCACAGAAAUCAUCCCCCUGCCCCACUCUGGGGCUUGGGGCCCUCCUGGUCUGCCAAGAGGUUCC
RNAcentral lists this long non-coding RNA (979 nucleotides) under Homo sapiens (human). RNAcentral's name for it is "non-protein coding lnc-NR2E1-4:2". The record is from RNAcentral. Lineage: Eukaryota; Metazoa; Chordata; Mammalia; Primates; Hominidae.